AUUGAACGCUGGCGGCAGGCCUAACACAUGCAAGUCGAGCGGAGCGGCGGACGGGAGAGUAAUGCCUAGGCAUCUGCCUGGUAGUGGUGGAUAACGUCCGGCAACGGGCGCUAAUUCCGCAUACUAUCAGUCGACCCUAGGUCGGAUUAGCUAGUUGGUGGGGUAAAGGCCUACCAAGGCGACGAUACGUAACUGGUCUGAGAGGAUGAUCAGUCACACUGGAACUGGGACACGGGCCAGACUCCUACGGGAGGCAGCAGUGGGGAAUAUUGGACAAUGGGCGAAAGCCUGAUCCAGCCAUGCCGCGUGUGUGAAGAAGGUCUUCGGAUUGUAAAGCACUUUAAGUUGGGAGGCGUUACCAACAGAAUAAGCACCGGCUAACUUCGUGCCAGCAGCCGCGGUAAUAC
This 407-nucleotide ribosomal RNA is filed under the name uncultured bacterium. RNAcentral describes it as "partial 16S ribosomal RNA". It matches the Rfam family "Bacterial small subunit ribosomal RNA", at positions 30 to 526 of the family's 1533-position model. The record is from RNAcentral.